GAAAAGAUCAAGCUCCCGAGACAACCGGAAAACAGUUCGAGCUCGGAGUCGAACUCCAAGUCGUCGGAGUAGGAGUCACACUCCUAGUCGGAGGAGACGGUCUAGAUCUGUUGGUAGAAGGAGAAGUUUUAGCAUUUCCCCUAGCCGAAGGAGCAGAACCCCCAGCCGCAGGAGCAGAACCCCCAGCCGCAGGAGCAGGACCCCCAGCCGCAGGAGCAGGACCCCCAGCCGCAGGAGCAGAACCCCCAGCCGCAGGAGCAGAACUCCCAGCCGUCGGAGAAGAUCAAGAUCUGUGGUAAGAAGACGAAGCUUCAGUAUAUCACCAGUCAGAUUAAGGCGAUCAAGAACACCUUUGAGAAGAAGGUUUAGUAGAUCUCCCAUUCGUCGGAAAAGAUCCAGGUCUUCUGAAAGAGGCAGAUCACCCAAACGUCUAACAGAUUUGGAUAAGGCUCAAUUACUUGAAAUAGCCAAAGCUAAUGCAGCUGCCAUGUGUGCUAAGGCUGGUGUUCCUUUGCCACCAAACCUAAAGCCUGCACCUCCACCUACAAUAGAAGAGAAAGUUGCUAAAAAGUCUGGAGGAGCUACCAUAGAAGAACUAACUGAGUUUUAGAAGCCAAACUGACUGAGGAGUGGAACGGUUCGUUUGAAUGGAGGAGGUGUUGAGUGAGCAACACGCAGAAGCUCGCCUACAGUUUCGUUUCCAUUCACGACGUGUUCACUGAUCGCCAAGAGUGUACUGCAUAUACGCAAAGACACAGACAAUCUUCAGAAAUGAUCUUUUGCCACCGGAGCUUGGAAAUUAAUGAGAAUAGCUGGCCAUUGCCUGAAAGGAACUUCUUUCGCAUCAACAUUUCGGGUUUUGGCUGUUUGGUACCAGCCAUUGGCGAUAAUGGCCGGCCAUUAUCAGUUCUUCCUGCGGUUCGGGUUUUGGCAGUAACAUAUUUUAAAUAUACUUAUUUUUGUUUUUAAAAAUUUGAUCUUUUGAAAUUGAGGCUUUUGGGGGAAGCUUUGUUUUACUUUAAUAUUUUUUUGUGUGUGUGGGGGAAGACGCUGAAAUAUUGCUGCUAGGAUCCAGAAAUAACACACUGUUUCAUAUACUGAAACUUGCUAUUGGCUAGCCUUAUGCCAGCCUGCCACUGUCAACAUAUUCUGUUCCCAUUGGUUACAUGCUUGAUACAUACACUCUUGUGUUUUUGGCUAAUUGAGCUUUUUAAUUCUAUUGUAAUAUUUUCAAUUGAUAAUAGAUGUGAUAAAUUCUGCUUGUAUAGACAGGUCUACUAAAAUUUACUCUUAACCUUUUUAUAAGUGGAAUCUGCUCCUUUGCUCCUGAGGAAGGACUUGACUUUGUAUGCUGGACUGCAUCAAUUGCGCCCUCUCCAUCAUGCCUUAUUUUCCAUUCUUAAGUUACAGUCCUUAAAUAAAUUUUAAAAAACAUUUAUGGAGAGAGAUGUUACUAUUUACCCUGCCACAGAUGUUUAAAAUCUUUUACCAUACAUUUGGGGAUUAUAAAGUUAAAUUUGUUUCUUCACUUAGAUUCAUUAUAGUAUGAAUUAUAACUUAAAAAAGACCUAGCAAAAAGCCUCUAUUGCUUACUUACCAAAUGCAAGCUCUUUAUCUAAAACUUUAUGAACGCUUAGCGUUUGCUAUUGUUUGCCUCAUCUUCAGCGUUCUAUCCCUCUGACAAGUCUCUCCCAACUUGCUCACCACCACCUGACCAAGAUGACUUCCCUUUCCUUCCUAUUUCUUGUUCUUUACUGUGGGAAUUUUGCUUAGAACUCUUGAAGGAAUAUUCUUUGAUCCUUAAACCCUGCCUGAAUAUCCUCUUUACGCCUUUGUUCUCUAGCACUAUGUACCGUGUGUAUUACAUCAGUUUGCACUUGUUACUGUGUUGCUCUGUAAAAAGGUUCUUCAAUUACUUCAUGUGGAUGUACUUUUGUCUCGUAUUAGAUUGUAAGCUCCUUUGGAGCAGGGACCAUGUCUUUCCCUUUUUUUAUCUUCUUUCUUUCUCUCUCUCUCUCUCAUUUUUUUUUUUUUUUUUGUAUUUUUUUCCCAAGACAGUGCCCAGUACAGUGCUCUGCACAUAGUAGGUGCUCAAUAAAUGUUGUUGACUGACUGAGC
Molecule: long non-coding RNA, 2118 nt
Filed under: Rattus norvegicus (Norway rat)
Lineage: Eukaryota; Metazoa; Chordata; Mammalia; Rodentia; Muridae
Description: long non-coding RNA NONRATT006449
Source: RNAcentral